This 364-nucleotide ribosomal RNA is filed under the name uncultured Desulfobulbus sp. RNAcentral describes it as "bacterial SSU rRNA". It matches the Rfam family "Bacterial small subunit ribosomal RNA", at positions 1027 to 1382 of the family's 1533-position model. The record is from RNAcentral. Lineage: Bacteria; Pseudomonadati; Thermodesulfobacteriota; Desulfobulbia; Desulfobulbales; Desulfobulbaceae.
UCUGGAGACAGGUGCUGCAUGGCUGUCGUCAGCUCGUGUCGUGAGAUGUUGGGUUAAGUCCCGCAACGAGCGCAACCCUUGCCUUUAGUUGCCAGCAGUUCGGCUGGGCACUCUAAAGGGAACGUGCCGGUGGUUAAACCGGAAGGAAGGUAGGGGAGUUUUGACGUCAAGUCCUCAUGGCCUUUAUGACCAGGGCUACACACGUACUACAAUGGCCGAUACAAAGGGCAGCGACACUGCGAGGUGAAGCCAAUCCCGUAAAAUCGGUCUCAGUCCGGAUUGGAGUCUGCAACUCGACUCCAUGAAGUUGGAAUCGCUAGUAAUCGUGGAUCAGCAUGCCACGGUGAAUACGUUCCCGGGCCUU